RNAcentral lists this transfer RNA (72 nucleotides) under Lepidodinium chlorophorum. Its description in RNAcentral is "tRNA-Asp". It matches the Rfam family "tRNA". From Rfam's summary of the family: Transfer RNA (tRNA) molecules are approximately 80 nucleotides in length. The record is from RNAcentral. Lineage: Eukaryota; Dinophyceae; Gymnodiniales; Gymnodiniaceae.
GGAUAUAUAGCUCAAAGGUAGAGCACCUCCCUGUCACGGUGGAUGCUGCGGGUUCGAAUCCCGUUAUAUCCG